RNAcentral lists this long non-coding RNA (1064 nucleotides) under Callithrix jacchus (white-tufted-ear marmoset). RNAcentral's name for it is "lncRNA (ENSCJAG00000060332.2)". The record is from RNAcentral. Lineage: Eukaryota; Metazoa; Chordata; Mammalia; Primates; Cebidae.
CGAAGCCCCAGGAAGAGGUAGAAUGUACAGUAUUUUAUGAAAUUUGACCAGGUGUGUUGCUGCUGUUCGUGUUCUUUUCAGCUGAAGGGACUGAAGUUCUAGAACCUUCUUUGGGAAGUGGUACGCACAUGCUGGGAGGAAGGCAGAGGUGCAGGUGCCAGUGUGUGCCCCGUGGCUGUGUCCGAAUGGGGCUUACACUUCUUUAUGUUCUUCGUGCUUGUCUGUAUUUUCUAUAAUAUGCAUUUUGUAAGUUAAAAGAAGCACAACCAAAAGACAAAAGUAUAAAAAAAAGUCUGGAAUUUUUCAAAUUGGGGUCCUCCUCACUUCUUUUUAAGCAUUUCUAAUUUGUUUUCAACCUGCUAGGCUCAGCUUUAUUGGCAAUGUUUUUUUAUUUUGAAAAUUAGUUGUAAAUGAACGUUUCCAACCAACGCCUCGUGUGAUUUUUUUUUUUUUUUUUUUAACCAAUUCAUCAUCUUGGCCAAAUAGUCUGGACCAAAUCAAGCAGGGGGAUGUGAGGAGGGACAUGGAGGGCAGGUAAGAGAGAGAAUAGGUGGGGAAAAAGAGAUGGAGUGAGGCAAGAUAAGGCAAAGACCCGAGAGGUGAGUUGGAGUGGGAAGAAGAGAGCAAGCGAGAACGCAGAGACCGUGCAACAAACCAGAGAAGCAGGAUGAGGAGGAGGGGCAUUCACCAAGCACUCAUCCAGCCCUUCCCAUGGACCAAGCGCCAGGUGAAUGGGGCCAGGACGCUUGCCUUCGCAGGAAAAGGGGCUGUGCGCGAGAUCACUUCUCAUCUACAGUCACUCUCCCAUCCCUGAUGCCAAACCUGACUACUGCGGCGGGGGCCCCAGAAGCAUUAUUGACCAAGGGAGAAAGUGUCUUUGAUGGCCAAUUCUGAUGCCCAGUUUGAUCCUGGCCUGGUGCUCAUUUGUCUGAAUUGAGUGCCCUGCUGUCCCCUUUGUGUCCUCUCAGUGUGAACAGGGAUAAAGGUUGAAACAGUACCCAGAGGGCUCCUCGAGAGACAGUUUCCAUCAAAGCAUCCAAAGAUAUCUCUGGGGAAGACACACC